UACGUAGGGGGCAAGCGUUGUCCGGAUUUAUUGGGCGUAAAGAGCUCGUAGGCGGCUCACUAAGUCGGAUGUGAAAACUCCAGGCUCAACCUGGAGACGCCAUUCGAUACUGGUGUGGCUUGAGUUCGGUAGGGGAGCACGGAAUUCCUGGUGUAGCGGUGAAAUGCGCAGAUAUCAGGAGGAACACCAAUUGCGAAGGCAGCUCGCUGGGACGUUACUGACGCUGAGACGCGAAAGCGUGGGGAGCAAACAGG
This 254-nucleotide ribosomal RNA is filed under the name uncultured bacterium. Its description in RNAcentral is "partial 16S ribosomal RNA". It matches the Rfam family "Bacterial small subunit ribosomal RNA", at positions 524 to 776 of the family's 1533-position model. The record is from RNAcentral.